GGGCCUGUAGCUCAGUUGGUUAGAGCAUCUGGUUUACACCCAGAGGGUCGGGGGUUCGAGUCCCUCCGGGCCCA
This 74-nucleotide transfer RNA is filed under the name Gulosibacter sp. ACHW.36C. Its description in RNAcentral is "tRNA-Val". It matches the Rfam family "tRNA". From Rfam's summary of the family: Transfer RNA (tRNA) molecules are approximately 80 nucleotides in length. Their secondary structure includes four short double-helical elements and three loops (D, anti-codon, and T loops). The record is from RNAcentral. Lineage: Bacteria; Bacillati; Actinomycetota; Actinomycetes; Micrococcales; Microbacteriaceae.